Hirundo rustica (Barn swallow) is the source of this 423-nucleotide long non-coding RNA. RefSeq lists it as uncharacterized. The record is from RefSeq and is a predicted model, not a curated record. The transcript is spliced from 2 exons. NCBI's taxonomy places the organism in Eukaryota, Metazoa, Chordata, Aves, Passeriformes, Hirundinidae.
GAUGGAAUCAGUUGGAGAUUGCUGGCCAUGCUGUGGGGAGGAAGGGACAGGAAACAGUGAGCUAGAAAUGCAGAAAGAAGAGAGAAAAAGGAGCCAGAGCUGUGUGGGGUUGUUCACAGGACUGCAACUUAGCAAAGGAAAAUGAAGGAAUCAAGGACACCAUAUUCAGAAUAUGUUUUUAUCUCUGCCUGCUGAUCACUGACAACACAGCUCCACCCAGAAGAAGAAAUUUGCCUGCUGAUCACUGAUGACAGUACUCCUCCCAGAAGAAAUUAUGGAUUGUUUUGAUGAUGUUGUAAGAGGAAAUCUGAGAAUUCAGAAAUCUUCCAACACAGAGAUGCAACACUUCUAAAAUACUCUAUUGACUGAAUUCUAAGGCAGCCUUUCACUGAUUAAAUAAAGAAGCCAAAAUGUUCAAUCAAA